This 877-nucleotide ribosomal RNA is filed under the name uncultured archaeon. RNAcentral's name for it is "bacterial SSU rRNA". It matches the Rfam family "Archaeal small subunit ribosomal RNA", at positions 21 to 903 of the family's 1478-position model. The record is from RNAcentral.
CCUGACUGCUAUCGGAUUGAUACUAUGCCAUGCUAGUCCUUGUAGUAAUACAAGGCAUACGGCUCAGUAACGCGUAGUCAACCUACCCUAUGGACGGGGAUAAUCUCGGGAAACUGAGCAUAAUACCCGGCAGACCACUUAUCCUGGAAUGGUUAGUGGUUAAAAUGAUUCGUCGCCAUAGGAUGGGACUGCGGCCUAUCAGCUUGUUGGUGAGGUAAUGGCCCACCAAGGCGAUUACAGGUACGGGCUCUGAGAGGAGAAGCCCGGAGAUGGGUACUGAGACACGGACCCAGGCCCUAUGGGGCGCAGCAGGCGAGAAAACUUUGCAAUGUGCGAAAGCACGACAAGGUUAAUCCGAGUGAUUUCUGCUAAAGAAAUCUUUUGCCAGUCCUAAAACCGCUGGUGAAUAAGGGGUGGGCAAGUUCUGGUGUCAGCCGCCGCGGUAAAACCAGCACCUCAAGUGGUCAGGAUGAUUAUUGGGCCUAAAGCAUCCGUAGCCUGCUUUGUAAGUUUUCGGUUAAAUCCAUGUGCUCAACGCAUGGGCUGCCGAAAAUACUGCAUAGCUAGGGAGUGGGAGAGGUAGACGGUACUCAGUAGGUAGGGGUAAAAUCCUUUGAUCUAUUGAUGACCACCUGUGGCGAAGGCGGUCUACCAGAACACGUUCGACGGUGAGGGAUGAAAGCUGGGGGAGCAAACCGGAUUAGAUACCCGGGUAGUCCCAGCUGUAAACGAUGCAGACUAGAUGAUGCAUUGGCAUAAUAGCCAUUGCAGUGUCUCAGGGAAGCCGUUAAGUCUGCCGCCUGGGAAGUACGUACGCAAGUAUGAAACUUAAAGGAAUUGGCGGGGGAGCACCACGAAGGGGUGAAGCCUGCGGUUC